This 253-nucleotide ribosomal RNA is filed under the name uncultured bacterium. RNAcentral describes it as "partial 16S ribosomal RNA". It matches the Rfam family "Bacterial small subunit ribosomal RNA", at positions 524 to 776 of the family's 1533-position model. The record is from RNAcentral.
UACGGAGGGGGCUAGCGUUGUUCGGAAUUACUGGGCGUAAAGCGCACGUAGGCGGCUUUGCAAGUUAGAGGUGAAAGCCCGGGGCUCAACUCCGGAAUUGCCUUUAAAACUGCAUCGCUAGAAUUGUGGAGAGGUAAGUGGAAUUCCGAGUGUAGAGGUGAAAUUCGUAGAUACUCGGAAGAACACCAGUGGCGAAGGCGACUUACUGGACACAUAUUGACGCUGAGGUGCGAAAGCGUGGGGAGCAAACAGG